CCUACGGGUGGCAGCAGUGAGGAAUAUUGCACAAUGGGGGAAACCCUGAUGCAGCGACGCCGCGUGAAGGAAGAAGUAUUUCGGUAUGUAAACUUCUAUCAGCAGGGACGAAAAUGACGGUACCUGACUAAGAAGCCCCGGCUAACUACGUGCCAGCAGCCGCGGUAAUACGUAGGGGGCAAGCGUUAUCCGGAUUUACUGGUUGUAAAGGGAGCGUAGGCGGUUUAGCAAGUCAGAAGUGAAAGCCCGGGGCUCAACUCCGGGAAGGCUUUUGAACCUGUUGAACUAGAGUGCAGGAGAGGGAAGUGGAAGUCACAGUGUAGCGGUGAAAGGCGUAGAUAUUAGGAGGAACACCAGUGGCGAAGGCGGCGUACUGGACCGUAAAUGACGCUGAGGCUCGAAAGCGUGGGGAGCAAACAGGAUUAGAUACCCCAGUAGUC
Molecule: ribosomal RNA, 440 nt
Filed under: uncultured bacterium
Lineage: Bacteria
Description: partial 16S ribosomal RNA
Rfam family: Bacterial small subunit ribosomal RNA
Source: RNAcentral